AAUUUUUUUUAUGUAACCAAACCAAAGAAGCAUAAAAGGUACAAGGAAGUACCGUUUAGCUCCGGCGGUAAGAGUGCAGUUAUUAGGUUUUCAACUCCCAAUAUUCAACUGUCAGACCAAAAAAGCUGUAUUAGAAAAAUGUAAUCAGUAGCUUUUGUAGCUCCAAAUAGUCAACCCCCAGCAAUAAGGUUUACUUUUAUAUCCCCCUACCCAACCCAAACGUAGCAUGCUUGUAUGAAAAAGAUCCUAUAUACAGUGAUUAUGAGAGUGCUGACUUCUCCCAGACGACCAACAAAUUGUUGCUAUUUACAACGUUCUGAGGGCACCCAACAAGAGGGUAUGAAUAAGAUUUCAUGCGUUAACCCAAAGCAGCAGUUGAUAAAUUUUA
Molecule: unclassified non-coding RNA, 388 nt
Filed under: Hevea brasiliensis (rubber tree)
Lineage: Eukaryota; Viridiplantae; Streptophyta; Magnoliopsida; Malpighiales; Euphorbiaceae
Source: RNAcentral